RNAcentral lists this long non-coding RNA (369 nucleotides) under Spirodela polyrhiza (greater duckweed). RNAcentral's name for it is "long non-coding RNA (SPOL_LNC000114)". The record is from RNAcentral. Lineage: Eukaryota; Viridiplantae; Streptophyta; Magnoliopsida; Alismatales; Araceae.
CGUCCUUGGGGAUGGUAUACCCGCGCAGAGAGAUCUCCUCCGUGACGGCGUGGGGAAGCACGAAGUGACCCGGCGGGUGGCGGCGGAGCCCCUCCAGGACCACGGCCUUCAGGUAGGGUUUUUUCUGUAGGUCGUCCUCCUUGAUCUCCGCGCCGACUUCCUCUGCCAGUUUUUCCUGCACGGUAGGGUGCUUGACGACGUUCGCCAUGAUCCAUUCCAGCGCCGUGGAGGUGGUGUCGGUGCCGGCGUCGAGGAACUCGGAGCAAAGAGUGAUGAUCUCUUCGUCGUUGAGCUUCCUCCCCUCCUCCUCGGGGAUCUCGAGGUCCAGAAGGGAAUCCAAGUAGCAGAAGCGGAAGCUGUUCUCCCCCU